Molecule: long non-coding RNA, 237 nt
Filed under: Elaeis guineensis (African oil palm)
Lineage: Eukaryota; Viridiplantae; Streptophyta; Magnoliopsida; Arecales; Arecaceae
Description: long non-coding RNA (EGUI_LNC005453)
Source: RNAcentral
UAGGAUGGAAUGUAGCAUGUGUGGCCGCACACCUCUGAAACUAAGAAGAAUAAUUUAAUAUACUCUAACACUAAUUAGGGUCCCGUAUGGUACAUCUUUUAUGCCAUAAAAAGCAAUGCAUGUUGGGAUUGGUACAAUGUAGUAUAUUUUGAAAAUAAAAGAGUUUUUGCUCAUUGUAGACCGAAAACAUCAUGUGAGGAUGCCAAACACAUAGAUAAUUAUCAAACAUACAAGAGA